RNAcentral lists this ribosomal RNA (251 nucleotides) under uncultured prokaryote. Its description in RNAcentral is "partial 16S rRNA". It matches the Rfam family "Bacterial small subunit ribosomal RNA", at positions 525 to 775 of the family's 1533-position model. The record is from RNAcentral.
ACGAAGGGAGCUAGCGUUGUUCGGAAUUACUGGGCGUAAAGGGCGCGUAGGCGGUUUAGUAAGUCAGAUGUGAAAGCCCUGGGCUUAACCCAGGAACUGCGUUUGAGACUACUAGACUUGAAUUUGGAAGAGGUAAGUGGAAUUCCCAGUGUAGAGGUGAAAUUCGUAGAGAUUGGGAAGAACAUCCGUGGCGAAGGCGGCUUACUGGACCAACAUUGACGCUGAGGCGCGAAAGCGUGGGGAGCAAACAG